GCCUGGCAGAGCCGCGGGGGUCGCUGCGCUCCGAGCAGCCCGAACCGCUCGGCCAGAGGCAGCCCCGCCGCCCCGUCGGGGCGCGGCACCGGCUCCUCACCAACCUUCGAUCGGCUUCAGGCUCUUGCCACGUUCCCUGCUGACCACACCGCCAGUGCUGCCAACUCCCCCAGGUGCCCUCAGCCACCUUUGCCACAUUGACUCUAUUCAUCGAGAUCUUCCCCCGGCCUUUCACGGAAUGCUGGUCACUGCCACCCAACAGCCUUCCGUCCCUCCAGUGGCUGCUGCAACCAGCAAUGACUUCACUCACGGGGCAGAGUGCAAGAACUCAGACUUUUCCUGUGCUUUGAAAGGAGUUCCUGCAUUGAGCUUCUGAAGAACCCCAGCAGCGAGCUGCGUGCCAGCCGGUCACCCAGUAGCAGCUACUGGGAGGUGUUGGAGGCACCUAUUGGUGAGCAGAAACACUGCACAGCGCUGUUGGGUGGGAGAUUGCCGGGAACUGCAAACACUGCUUUUGUGGCUGCUUGAAGGCAGGUGGGAACAGACUGGAAUUAGGCCUCUAUGGCAUUGAUUUGUCACUGGAAGGUGCCAAGAGACAGAGAAAACACAGCUGCAGAAAGGACCCAUUUAGAAGAGAGAGGAGCAACCCCAUGGAUUUCCAUUGAUACACGUGGAGCUUAGCGAGAAUAAAAUAGCCAAGGAAGCCUCGAAACCAAGACAACCCCCGUGUGUUUACAUGUGCUAUAUAUAAACAGGAAAAUAAAGCAAAAGAAAACAGGAAAAUAAAG
Cuculus canorus (common cuckoo) is the source of this 788-nucleotide long non-coding RNA. RefSeq lists it as uncharacterized. The record is from RefSeq and is a predicted model, not a curated record. The transcript has 4 exons. NCBI's taxonomy places the organism in Eukaryota, Metazoa, Chordata, Aves, Cuculiformes, Cuculidae.